CUUCUCUCCCAGCUAAUAGGCUUUGCCAUCCCCAAGAUGGGCGCGAUCCUUUUCCUGCUUGCCAAAAGGUACAAUUUGGGAAGUACAGGUCCUUCAUAAUUUGGCUUACUUGAUUGUUUGGGUGAUGAGAAAGGCGCCAAGCUUGUUUUCCUAACAUAGCCAUAUUGAAAGUGGAAAGAUCCUUGAAACCGAGACCUCCUUCCUUUUUUGUGAGCUUGAGAAGUUCCCAUUUUCUCCAAUGAAGACCCUUCGCUUUAUUAUUGUUUCUCCACUAGAAGUUAGCAAUCUUCUUUUCUAUAUCUCUGAUAAUAGAUAAUGGGAUUUUAAAAUGGACAUAGCAUACUGGGGUAUAGCUUGCACAACUGAUUUGAGAAGUGUUUCCUUACCCACUCUUGAUAACAAGUUUUCCUUCCAACUUUCUAGCUUCAUAUUUAUUUUAGUUAGAAUCCACGUGAACACUUCUUUUUUGGAUGCACCCCAGUCCGAAGGGAUUCCUAGAUAUUUCCCAGUUUUCAUAAUAAUUGGAACUCUCAGCUCAUACGCCAUAUUUCUCCGUGGUUGUUCUAGACAGCCCUUAGUAAAGAAUAUCCCUGAUUUAUUGCGGUUGACAGCUUGACCUGAUGCAUAACAAUACUGAUGCAGGAUAGACGCUAAGUUUUGACAUUCCAAGAUUGUACCAUGAAAGAAAAAAAUGGAGUCAUUUGCAAAUAAUAGAUGGGAAAGAGUGGGACAAUUUCUAUUCAACCUGAUACCACAGAUUGUACCUGUUUGUAUGGCUUGCUUUAACAUGUGGGAUAGGACAUUUGCCACAAUGAUGAAUAAAUAAGGGGAUAAUGGAUCACCUUGGCGAAUUCCCCGAGUUGGCUGGAAAUAAGGCAAGGAUACACCAUUAAUCUUGAUGUUGUAGGAGACAGUUGUAACACACUGCAUGACCAUUUUAACCCAUUCUUCACAAAACCCCAUCUUCAGCAGGCAUGCUUGAAGGAAAUCCCACUCUAUCCGAUCAUACGCCUUUUGCAUAUCAAGUUUGAGGACCGCCUGGAAGUGCUGCUGUCGAUCUCGAGUUCUUAGUCUGUAAAGGACUUCCUGGACAAUAAGGAUGUUAUCCUAUAUUUGCCGUCCUUCCACAAAUGCACUAUGUUCUAGUUCAAUUAGGGCUGGUAGUAGGGGUUUCAAUCUAUUUGUGAUGAUUUUGGAAAUGAUUUUGUAGGCAAAAUUGCACAGGCUUAGGUCUAAAUUGUUCUAUUUUUUCUGGGUUUUGGAUUUUAGGGAUAAGAGUGAUUUGUGUUUGGUUAAAGGCUGGGUUUAGGGAUCCGGUCUCGAAGAAGUGUUGAAUCUCCCGAUAGAUAUCUUCUCCAAUAUCUCGCCAGUGGUGUUGAAAAAAGAUGCCAUUUAACCCAUCCGGCCCUGGAGCUUUAUUAGGUCCCAAUUGGUAUGCAGCUUCUUUAAUUUCGUCCAUAGUAACAAGUGUAGUAAGCUUUUGAUUUAUAGUUACAUCCACCAAGUUGGGAAUAUAAUCAAGGAUGGGCUGAAAGUUCCGUUGUCCCCCCAGACGUAUAUAGGUUUUUGAAAAAGUUAACAGUCAUGUCCUGAAGUGCUUCUUGAUUGCGAAUCCACUCCUCCUGAUUGUUUAAUAACAUGGAAAUUCGAUUCCGGUUUCUCCGUUGAAUAGUUGUUGCAUGGAAAAUUUUGGUAUUUUUAUCUCCCCAUUGCAACAACUUAAUUCUUGAUCUCAUGCCCCAGAACAUCUCCUCUUGUCGCCAUAGGGAUUCGAUUUCUUGGUUAAUUUGUUGAAUUCUUUGCUGAUCAUAGUCACAUUCUUGGCUGUUCAUGAAGGUCAGAAGUUUCUUUUUCAACCUUUCUAUCCUUUUAUAUGCAUUGGGAUAUCUUCUUUUACUCCACACAGCAAGUUUUGUAGCUACUAACUUUAGUUUCUCAACCAUGUUUUUACCUUGGGAUUCUUCCCAAGUUCGUUUCACAAGGCUCGUACAAUCCUCAUCUUCAGCCCAGUACCGCUUCAUACCUAAAAUCUGUUUUUUGCAAUCUGUUUUAGGAUACAGGGACAACGAAAGAGGGCUGUGAUAAGAGCCUAUUGCUGGUAGCGCUAAAACCUCCGCAGCUGGAUAAGCUAUUCUCCACUCCAAGGUACAUAAGGCUCUAUCCAACCUUUUCUUGACAUUUUUCCCACCACCUCUUCGAUUUGUCCAUGUAAAUGCGCAUCCUUUACUUUCUAGAUCGAUAAAAGAACAUGCAUGUAGGAAAUCUCUGAAAGCCGUAAGACGAUAGUUUUCUGACAACCUCUUUCCCACUUUUUCCCAAUGAUACAAAAUUUCAUUAAAGUCGCCAAUACACAGCCAAUGUAGAUGAUUGAAGAUGCUUAGUCGUUGUAUUUCUUCCCAUAAUAAUAUUCUAGCUUUAAAACAAGUUGGAGCAUACACGAAAGUGAUUCUCAUUAACUGCUUAUUUUCUAAAGUUGACAUUGCACAUUGAUAAAGUUUCUGGAAGAAGAAUCCACAACUAUGGUAACCGUUUCAUCCCAAAAGAUUGCCAAACCCUCUGAAAAACCAUCUGGAUUCUCCAAAAAAACAAUUUUGAAACUUCAAUCUACAACGCCAUUUUUGCACCAGUGGCUCUCUAUUUUUGGUUUUCAUUAAACAAAUAAUAUUAGGUCGUUCUUGAGACACUAGGGCUCUUAAAGCUCAAAUUGUCAAGAAUGAGCCCAACCCCUGACAAUUCUAACUUAUUAUUUUCAUGGCUGACCUGGUGGCUUAUUCAGGCUAGCCACCAAAGUCUAGUGCAUUGAUUUCUCCUCUUCCGAGAUAGGAAUGUCCACAAGCUGCAAUUUAUCAGUAGAAGGUGCCUUUGACGAUUGAGCACCAUACGGGCAGAAUCUCUUUCUUUUUUUCGAAGUAGGUAGUUUAGUACUUUUAAUUUUACCCUUGUUUCGGCUUCUUUCAUUUGCUGGCUGGUAUUCUUCCUCAAACUCUUUUUCUUUUAGCUGUUCAGUGUAAAGAAACAUCAUAGAUUCGUCAUCUAAACAGCUACUUCCUCUUUUCUGUGGACCUUUUUCCUCCCUUAUGGUAAUAGCAAGAGAAUGGUGAAGAGGAUCUACUUGUUGUUUCAAAGCCUCCUCCGAAGAAAUUUGACUUCUAAUAGGUGGGUUAGGCUGCUCUGUUGUUCUAAUUGCUUGCUGAUUUUCUUGUAUUUCUGCAGCAAGGGGGGAUUCCGGUACCACUUCAGGAUCUUGAAGGAGCUCAACAUGUUUUCCAUAAAAUAUUUUACCAUAAGGGCUGAUAUCCCUGACUUCGGCACGUAACCAGCUACCAAAAUUACCUAGUAAAUCCUCUUCCAGCCUUGUAAAGUCAUAUGGAAUUUCUUUGCACGCUGUAGCAUAAUGUCCAAUUCUUCCACAAGAAAAGCAGAAGUGUGGGAGCCUCUCAUAUUUGAAUUCUAUCCAUAAUUUUUUGCUGCCCAAACUGAGAACGACACAUGUUUUAAGGGGGGGAGCCCAAAUGAAGAUUAACUCGGGCUUUACCAAAUUUAUACAUACUAUUUCCUUUAGCUUCCAACUUCACAUCUAUUGCCUCGCCGAUUUUGGCAGCUAUAUCUCUAACAACUUCCUUCGUCACUCUACCAAAUGGAAGACCAUAUCGAUUAACCCAAAAGGGAUAGUGAUCAAAAUUAUAACAUAUCUCUGGAAUGUCAGGAUCACACUGCUGAAGCACUAGCAGAUAUCUGAUCAUUCAUCAUUUUUGAUCUACUCACAAACUCAUAAAGUUGUAAGAGAGCUACCUCAGCAAAGAAAAAGCAGAGAGGC
Molecule: long non-coding RNA, 3817 nt
Filed under: Eucalyptus grandis
Lineage: Eukaryota; Viridiplantae; Streptophyta; Magnoliopsida; Myrtales; Myrtaceae
Description: long non-coding RNA (EGRA_LNC002344)
Source: RNAcentral